GACUUUCUCGACUCGUCGUCAGCCGGGGCCGCAGCGCGGCCGGUGGGGACUGCGGGGCGGGCCGGAGUCCGUCCGAGGGCUCCCGCACCUCGGGCUGCGGGAACAUUAAAAUCUCCCCAGAUGCUCACUGCUCUGAUCAUUUCCCCUACAGCACCAGACAUGUUGGCAUCAUCUCUUAGUUGGGCCAUGUGGCCAGGGAACCCUUCAUGAAACCACCUCUGCAGUCCUGGAGAGUUGCUGUAGAAGAAGGAAAAGAGAGGAAGACAACACAACACAGGAGGGGAUAAGUACCUCUGGACACAAUGGAAGUAGUAGUUGUUGAGCAGAGGGAAAGGGAUAGGAGAAGGAUGUGGACUGCAGUGCUGCAGUGCCAGGAAGUUCGAGGACCUUCAGAAAUCAAUCCAUGGGCUCCACAAGCACUGUAUCAAGAGGCAUUCGAGACCAGUCUGGGCUAGAGGUGGACAUGAGAGAAAGAUCCCAUAGCCCUCUUGGUCUUGGUUGGAACAGGAGGAAAAUGAAAACUGGACAUCCAUCUUAGGACUUAAUCCUACGGAGACCACAAGCUG
Molecule: long non-coding RNA, 566 nt
Filed under: Homo sapiens (human)
Lineage: Eukaryota; Metazoa; Chordata; Mammalia; Primates; Hominidae
Description: non-protein coding LINC00472:64
Source: RNAcentral